RNAcentral lists this ribosomal RNA (372 nucleotides) under uncultured organism. RNAcentral describes it as "partial 16S ribosomal RNA". It matches the Rfam family "Bacterial small subunit ribosomal RNA", at positions 527 to 896 of the family's 1533-position model. The record is from RNAcentral.
GUAGGUGGCAAGCGUUGUCCGGAAUUAUUGGGCGUAAAGCGCGCGCAGGUGGUUCUUUAAGUCUGAUGUGAAAGCCCCCGGCUCAACCGGGGAGGGUCAUUGGAAACUGGGGAACUUGAGUGCAGGAGAGGAAAGUGGAAUUCCACGUGUAGCGGUGAAAUGCGUAGAUAUGUGGAGGAACACCAGUGGCGAAGGCGACUUUCUGGCCUGUAACUGACACUGAGGCGCGAAAGCGUGGGGAGCAAACAGGGAUUAGAUACCCUGGUAGUCCACGCCGUAAACGAUGAGUGCUAAGUGUUGGGGGGGUUUCCCGCCCCUCAGUGCUGCAGCUAACGCAUUAAGCACUCCGCCUGGGGAUACGGCGCAAGACUG